Molecule: long non-coding RNA, 337 nt
Organism: Biomphalaria glabrata
Lineage: Eukaryota; Metazoa; Mollusca; Gastropoda; Planorbidae
Exons: 3
Source: RefSeq, a predicted model, not a curated record
UCUUCUUUGAAUGUCUUUUGAAACCAAUACAUUAAGCUUUGUUGAACUUUACUGUACUCAUUUAUUAAUUCAAAUGGAUAUUUUAAAUGUCGUGUUUUAAUAUGUUUCAGAGUGAUAGAGCUUUGCAACGUUGGGACAUGGCGACCAGAAAUUGACGAGUGUCGGGUACGGAAUGGAGGCUGCACCGACUUGUGUGUCAACACAGAUGGGUCCCACACGUGCAGAUAGACUUACGCUGUCAUUAAUUCGGUUAAUACAGGGGCCGAAAACCCAAGUGCUUAUCCAACAGGGGCUUCCUACGAGUUUGUUACCUUGCUGUAUUUCUAUUGAAUAAAAG